RNAcentral lists this ribosomal RNA (447 nucleotides) under uncultured bacterium. RNAcentral describes it as "bacterial SSU rRNA". It matches the Rfam family "Bacterial small subunit ribosomal RNA", at positions 355 to 825 of the family's 1533-position model. The record is from RNAcentral.
UGGGGAAUAUUGGACAAUGGGCGAAAGCCUGAUCCAGCCAUGCCGCGUGAGUGACGAAGGCCUUAGGGUUGUAAAACUCUUUCGUCGGGGACGAUAAUGACGGUACCCGAAGAAGAAGCUCCGGCUAACUUCGUGCCAGCAGCCGCGGUAAUACGAAGGGAGCUAGCGUUGUUCGGAAUCACUGGGCGUAAAGCGCACGUAGGCGGAUAGUUAAGUCAGGGGUGAAAUCCUGGGGCUCAACCCCAGAACUGCCUUUGAUACUGGCUGUCUCGAGGUCGAGAGAGGUUGGUGGAAUUCCUAGUGUAGAGGUGAAAUUCGUAGAUAUUAGGAAGAACACCAGUGGCGAAGGCGGCCAACUGGCUCGAUACUGACGCUGAGGUGCGAAAGCGUGGGGAGCAAACGGGAUUAGAUACCCUAGUAGUCCCUGAGCGGGCUGGCAAGGCGCAU